CACUAAGAAGCUUAUAUAGCACCAGCCUUUUAAGCUGGAGAUGGAGACAACCGCUCCCUUAGUGACCA
This 68-nucleotide transfer RNA is filed under the name Aspidoscelis marmoratus (Marbled whiptail). RNAcentral's name for it is "tRNA-Lys". It matches the Rfam family "tRNA". From Rfam's summary of the family: Transfer RNA (tRNA) molecules are approximately 80 nucleotides in length. Their secondary structure includes four short double-helical elements and three loops (D, anti-codon, and T loops). Lineage: Eukaryota; Metazoa; Chordata; Lepidosauria; Squamata; Teiidae. The record is from RNAcentral. RNAcentral also lists the same sequence under 4 other names.